Molecule: unclassified non-coding RNA, 329 nt
Filed under: soil metagenome
Description: partial contains 5.8S ribosomal RNA, internal transcribed spacer 2, and large subunit ribosomal RNA
Rfam family: 5.8S ribosomal RNA (bases 1-120)
Source: RNAcentral
GAUGAAGAACGCAGCGAAAUGCGAUAAGUAAUGUGAAUUGCAGAAUUCAGUGAAUCAUCGAAUCUUUUAACGCACAUUGCGCCCCUUGGUAUUCCGAGGGGCAUGCCUGUUCGAGCGUCAUUAUAACCCCUCAAGCUCAGCUUGGUGUUGGGGCCUGCUGCACUGGCAGCCCUUAAAAUCAGUGGCGGCGCCAUCUGGCUCUAAGCGUAGUAAUUCUUCUCGCUAUGGAGUCCUGGUGGAUGCUUGCCAUCAACCCCCAAUUUUUCUAUGGUUGACCUCGGAUCAGGGAGGGAUACCCGCUGAACUUAAGCAUAUCAAUAAGCGGAGGA